Acanthosepion pharaonis is the source of this 98-nucleotide non-coding RNA. The record is from the annotation of a GenBank genome assembly. NCBI's taxonomy places the organism in Eukaryota, Metazoa, Mollusca, Cephalopoda, Sepiida, Sepiidae.
UUAAAAUACUGGUUCCUGUACAAUCACUGAAGUUAAGCAACAUUGAGCCUGUUCAAUACCUACAUGGGAGAUCACUUGGGAACACUAGGUGCUGUAAG